UGCGUAGGUGGUUUCUUAAGUCUGAUGUGAAAGCCCACGGCUCAACCGUGGAGGGUCAUUGGAAACUGGGAGACUUGAGUGCAGAAGAGGAUAGUGGAAUUCCAAGUGUAGCGGUGAAAUGCGUAGAGAUUUGGAGGAACACCAGUGGCGAAGGCGACUGUCUGGUCUGUAACUGACACUGAGGCGCGAAAGCGUGGGGAGCAAACA
RNAcentral lists this ribosomal RNA (207 nucleotides) under uncultured bacterium. RNAcentral's name for it is "partial 16S ribosomal RNA". It matches the Rfam family "Bacterial small subunit ribosomal RNA", at positions 568 to 774 of the family's 1533-position model. The record is from RNAcentral.